This 472-nucleotide ribosomal RNA is filed under the name uncultured bacterium. Its description in RNAcentral is "partial 16S ribosomal RNA". It matches the Rfam family "Bacterial small subunit ribosomal RNA", at positions 30 to 507 of the family's 1533-position model. The record is from RNAcentral.
AUUGAACGCUGGCGGCAGGCCUAACACAUGCAAGUCGAGCGGGGACUUCGGUCCUAGCGGCGAACGGGUGAGUAAUGCUUGGGAAUCUGCCCAGUAGUGGGGGAUAACGUCCCGAAAGGGACGCUAAUACCGCAUACGUCCUACGGGAGAAAGAGGGGGAUCUUCGGACCUCUCGCUAUUGGAUGAGCCCAAGUCGGAUUAGCUAGUUGAUAGGGUAAUGGCCUACCAAGGCGACGAUCCGUAGCUGGUCUGAGAGGAUGAUCAGCCACACUGGAACUGAGACACGGUCCAGACCCCUACGGGAGGCAGCAGUGGGGAAUAUUGGACAAUGGGCGAAAGCCUGAUCCAGCCAUGCCGCGUGUGUGAAGAAGGCCUUCGGGUUGUAAAGCACUUUAAGCGGGGAGGAAGGUUCGCGGCCUAAUACGUCGCGGAAUUGACGUUACCCGCAGAAUAAGCACCGGCUAACUCUGUG